AGGAAUCAGAGCCAUCGAAGGAAGAGAGAGAGACUUUCUUGGCUAAUGCAGCACAGGUAGCCUCUCCAGGGCAGCAAGAUAUCUGUGUGCAGUAUAGAGUGCUGCAAAGGAAGAUGUUACUCAAUACCAGACAUUCAAGACUUCCAGGACUGCUGCAUGCUGCUGAAGUGUGGAAGUGGAUAAAGGGGUGGUGGUGUUUUUCCAUUUCAUUGUAA
Long non-coding RNA from Haemorhous mexicanus (house finch), 215 nucleotides. RefSeq lists it as uncharacterized. NCBI's taxonomy places the organism in Eukaryota, Metazoa, Chordata, Aves, Passeriformes, Fringillidae. The record is from RefSeq and is a predicted model, not a curated record. The transcript is spliced from 3 exons.